RNAcentral lists this ribosomal RNA (110 nucleotides) under Bacteroidota bacterium. Lineage: Bacteria; Pseudomonadati; Bacteroidota. The record is from RNAcentral.
UAUGGUGACUUUAGCAAUGGUGUCCACCUCUUCCCAUUCCGAACAGAGAAGUUAAGCCCGAUUGCGCAGAUGGUACUGCAGUUAUGUGGGAGAGUAUGUCGUUGCCCUAA